ACGGAAGGCAGCAGUGGGGAAUAUUGCACAAUGGGCGAAAGCCUGAUGCAGCGACGCCGCGUGAGUGAAGAAGUAUCUCGGUAUGUAAAGCUCUAUCAGCAGGGAAGAAAAUGACGGUACCUGACUAAGAAGCCCCGGCUAACUACGUGCCAGCAGCCGCGGUAAUACGUAGGGGGCAAGCGUUAUCUGGAUUUACUGGGUGUAAAGGGAGCGUAGACGGUUUGGCAAGUCUGAAGUGAAAUGCGGGGGCUCAACUCCUGAACUGCUUUGGAAACUGUCGAACUAGAGUGCAGGAGAGGUAAGUGGAAUUCCUAGUGUAGCGGUGAAAUGCGUAGAUAUUAGGAGGAACACCAGUGGCGAAGGCGGCUUACUGGACUGUAACUGACGUUGAGGCUCGAAAGCGUGGGGAGCAAACAGGAUUAGAUACCCUGGUA
Molecule: ribosomal RNA, 434 nt
Filed under: uncultured Lachnospiraceae bacterium
Lineage: Bacteria; Bacillati; Bacillota; Clostridia; Lachnospirales; Lachnospiraceae
Description: partial 16S ribosomal RNA
Rfam family: Bacterial small subunit ribosomal RNA
Source: RNAcentral